UGGCGACCGGCGCACGGGUGAGUAACACGUAUCCAACCUGCCUCAUACUCGGGGAUAGCCUUUCGAAAGAAAGAUUAAUAUCCGAUAGCAUAUAUUUCCCGCAUGGGUUUUAUAUUAAAGAAAUUCGGUAUGAGAUGGGGAUGCGUUCCAUUAGUUUGUUGGCGGGGUAACGGCCCACCAAGACUACGAUGGAUAGGGGUUCUGAGAGGAAGGUCCCCCACAUUGGAACUGAGACACGGUCCAAACUCCUACGGGAGGCAGCAGUGAGGAAUAUUGGUCAAUGGACGCGAGUCUGAACCAGCCAAGUAGCGUGAAGGAUGACUGCCCUAUGGGUUGUAAACUUCUUUUAUAUGGGAAUAAAGUGGUCCACGUGUGGAUUUUUGUAUGUACCAUAUGAAUAAGGAUCGGCUAACUCCGUGCCAGCAGCCGCGGUAAUACGGAGGAUCCGAGCGUUAUCCGGAUUUAUUGGGUUUAAAGGGAGCGUAGGCGGAUUGUUAAGUCAGUUGUGAAAGUUUGCGGCUCAACCGUAAAAUUGCAGUUGAUACUGGCAGUCUUGAGUGCAGUAGAGGUGGGCGGAAUUCGUGGUGUAGCGGUGAAUGCUUAGAUAUCACGAAGAACUCCGAUUGCGAAGGCAGCUC
This 638-nucleotide ribosomal RNA is filed under the name uncultured bacterium. RNAcentral describes it as "bacterial SSU rRNA". It matches the Rfam family "Bacterial small subunit ribosomal RNA", at positions 89 to 727 of the family's 1533-position model. The record is from RNAcentral.